This 459-nucleotide ribosomal RNA is filed under the name uncultured bacterium. Its description in RNAcentral is "partial 16S ribosomal RNA". It matches the Rfam family "Bacterial small subunit ribosomal RNA", at positions 338 to 795 of the family's 1533-position model. The record is from RNAcentral.
CCUACGGGAGGCUGCAGUGAGGAAUAUUGGUCAAUGGGCGGACGCCUGAACCAGCCAAGUAGCGUGCGGGAUGAAUGCCCUAUGGGUUGUAAACCGCUUUUGUAAGGGGGCAACACCCUCUACGUGUGGCCGUCUUCAGAUAACGUGCGGAUAAAGGAUGGCUAAAUCCGGGCCAGCAGCCGGGGUAAUACCGAAGGCUCGAACGUUAUCCGGAUUUAUUGGGCUUAAAGGGAGCGUAGGCGGGAUUGCAAGUCAGCCGUAAAAUCGCGGGGCUCAACCGCGCCCCGCAGUUGAAACUGGACGUCUUGAGUGGGCGACAGGCAGGCGGAAUGCGUGGUGUAGCGGUGAAAUGCAUAGAUAUCACGAAGAACCCCGAUUGCGAAGGCAGCCUGCCGGGGUGCGACUGACGCUGAAGCUCGAAGGUGCGGGUAUCGAACAGGAUUAGAUACCCUGGUAGUC